Haliotis rubra (blacklip abalone) is the source of this 114-nucleotide long non-coding RNA. RefSeq lists it as uncharacterized. Lineage: Eukaryota; Metazoa; Mollusca; Gastropoda; Lepetellida; Haliotidae. The transcript has 4 exons. The record is from RefSeq and is a predicted model, not a curated record.
CCUUGUGUGAAAUUGCCAAUAGACACACUCUGGCACAGCCAUGACUUAACAUAACAUCACUGCCACAGGCUAAUUUGCAUAUCAUGUGACCGGACUUUUCUCUUGUUUGUAAUC